Molecule: non-coding RNA, 31 nt
Filed under: Mus musculus (house mouse)
Lineage: Eukaryota; Metazoa; Chordata; Mammalia; Rodentia; Muridae
Source: RNAcentral
UACCAUUACAGAUGGAAAAAGGUACCACUAU